GGAAAAACGAAGAUGUCUUUUAAUACAAAGAACACCGUGGAAGGUACAGCAGAUACAGAACUGAUUAUAAAGUUUCUGUAAUGAAGUCAGGCGCUUUGCGUAACGGUGGACGCAAAGACCAAAGAAACCAAAUUUGUUCAGAGACAGACUCGCACAGAAACACUUGAUUUAGGACAAGGGUGGCAGCGUGCAGACCGGUGGAAGGAUUUUUUUUUUCCCAAUAAAUAGUAUAAUCAGCCGUUGCUGGAUGCUUCGGAAUGCAUCGCAAUCAUAAAUACCCCCAAACGUCAAUACCCGGACCGGCAGCAGAACAGCCUGAGAAUCUAGAGUGCUUUCUCUGGGUAAUUAUCCCCGCCCUCCAAGAAAAGCUGCCGCUCGGCCGUCUUCUUGGUUUCAUCAAAGAAGGCAAGUAGGGGUCAAUCAAAGCUUACCUGGUGAGAACUGGACACCUUCUUCCUCUUCUGGUUCUGUAGCUUAACACCUGUGUAUUGGCUGAUACCACAAAGCUGGGUUUUUAAAUUAAUAUUGGGUCACAUGUCAACUCUCUUUUUUUUUUUCAGCGAUUUAAAAAUGUGUAACCAUUCAUAGCUCAUGGGCCAUGCAAAACCAGAAGGCAAAGGCUGCAUCCUGCCCACAGGUGUUAGUUUGCCAAGCCCUGGGUUAAAAUACGAACAUUUGUUCACACCGAUCCAUAGCCUAAGUGCCCUCAGAAUGGGGGCUGUUGUGAGGGUGGAGACUCGUGCAGAAAAUCGCACAAGACAGAACACCCUUAGAAUGUACCCUUUUUAAAGCAGGACUUCACCCUGCUUUGUCACUCCUUAUACCUGCCUUGCAACAAAUAAACUAAAUUAUUAAACCAAAGGGGAAAAUAUUUUGGCACUUGUGUCUUGGAAUGGACAUUUCUUCGUGAAUUUGCUAUAGUUUAACGAACAGUUUUUAGCUAGAAUGUAAUUAUUGUACUCGUGAUGGGGUGUGUAUCUCCUGGGUAUUUUGUUAUAUAUACUCUUGGCUAUUGCCCCUCCUAAAUUACUAUAUUUAUAAAUUAAAAUUCGAACUGUAGGUCCGUCUUUAUUUAAUAGCUGUGUGGGAAAGUAAUAGUUAAAUAAUUGCUUCUUGAAAAAAAAAAAUCUUGUUACUGAACCGAAAAAGUCUGUGGCCGGAAGGCCAAUAUAAAUGGAAUCCAAGAAGAUUCUCUCAACGAGCUGCCGAGAUUGAUGUUUUAAAAGACGACAAUACCUUCAGCCUCUCAUGGGAAUUACAACCAGGAAUCCCUGACACUACAGGGUACCUAAUACUGUUUUGUUAGGACUGUAAUCCUGCCUAGUGAAAACGUGGCUUUCUGCCUAGUGAAAGCGUCAUGGGCUCAGGACAUGCUGAUACAUAACUAUUUUCAAGAAUCUAGUAUCUGAACAACAAAUUGUUUCCGUCUAGUCUAAAAAGUUAGUUACUCUUAUUUAUUCUUUCUGUCCUUUAUUUUUAAGAAAGCCUGCAUUAAGCAAAACUUCCCCUCCCCUCUGUCCCACCUUGAUACCAAAAAUCAUCAUUCAGUUCAAAAUACUUACUCGGUUCAAAGUAUCUGAAACCAUCAGUUAAUUGGAGACGUUACACAAAGAGCCAACAUUUUUUUCAUUCCAUCAUUUCAACUUUUCUAGUAAUUGCUUUUUUAAAUUGAUUUUUCUUGUGAAAAUGUAAUACAAAAUUUUAAAAAGAUAGGCCUGUGACUAUGGGAGGUCCCUGGUGGCCUAGCAGUUAAGGAUCCAGCACUGUGGCUGCUGUGGUGCGGGUUCAAUCCCUGGCCCAGGUAUUUCCGCAUGCUAUAGGCUUGGUCAAAAAAAAAUAAACAAAAAAAACAGUAUAUUACUAUCUAAUAAACUCAUCAAAUUAUUAGUUAUGUUUUGGCUUGUUAACUACCUUAAAAAAUAAAUACAUAUCUGUGUCUUAUUGAAAAGAAAUGAAACUGGUGAAAAUAGGCAGGGAAAUUCAUCUGUGUGCAGUCUUGGGAUUAUUCUACAAAUCACAGAGAAAUAAAAAUAAAGUCUUCUUCUCUGAGUUACUUUAGGUUUCAUGCGUUUUCUGUGCCAAGAAGAGAAAGCCAUGUCACCAGGAAGCUUCCGCAGUUGGGGACACUGCACCUGCGUUGCUGUGGCACUCUGGUUCAUUACCUUUCACUUGCAGAGGCAUCACGGCGAUCAUUUAGACGAGAAAACCGAUUUCAGAAAGGUAGUUGGCCUUCAUGGCCAACGGCAAUUUCACAUUCAAAGUGGGGUCUGUGUGGCCCUGAGUUCAUGGUCACCGCCACGCAGGGGAUGACUGCGGACAGACGCACAGCCAGACUGCAGGGGGCCCGGUGCAAGGACUGCAGGGACCAUCAGUGGGGACCUGGGCCUGGAAGUCGAUGGACCUGAAGACUGGCCAGUUUCGGCCUGGAGAUUAGCAGCUCCAAGUUUCAGGGACCAGUGACCCCGCAGGAUCGGCCGAGGCUGAGACUGGGCUGCUUGACUUGGUGGCGCCUUCAUACCUGCCUGGACUUCCAGUCACCACAGAGGGACAAUGGGCUGGACGGUCACUCACUGCUGCGGUAGCUCAGAUUUGACUCUGGGAACUUCUGUAUGCUGCUGGUAUGGCCCUAAAAAGAAAGAGAAAAAAAAAAUGAACCGUGCUCAGAAGGCUAGGGUUGUAUUAGGGUGAAAUAGGUAUGAUCGGGGAGUGUGCUGGGAAGGUGGGGAGAGCUGAACUGGGGAGAGGACGCAGCCAAGAACCCAGUAGGAGGCUGCCCUAGUAGGGAGAGCUGCUGGGACUGGGGGGCCAGAACGACAUGGGAAACGCAAAAGCAGCAGGAGUCAGGGACGAUCUAAGACCAGAGCGACACCCCCCUUGGUCAGGCCUUCCGAGGAGGCGCCUGAUGGGGCGGGGAGGGCGGGGCAGGGGGACUGGCAGGGAAACAGCGGGAAGGGUGGCUUAGCACGUGGGAGGGGAAGAUGAGCACCUGUUCCCCCGCGUCUAGGACACAGAGUUUAAACAUUUACAGCGUAUAAUGCACCAAACUCAUGACAGACUCUGGCAAUGAAAGCAAUUAUAACAACACGUUGCCAAACCAAGAACCAGCACGUGGAUAUUUCUAUGGCCUGAAACCCUCCCAGGCUUAGAGGCUAUGGCAGGGUUCUGAGCAAUGGGGGUUCCAAUGUCAUCUUUUACUAAUUCGAAGUAUGCAGAAGAAGUUAAAGUUGAAUGAUUGUUCUUUUCCCCACAUACAUAGCAGGUAUGAAUGUUUGCGUAUUGAAACAGCUUUUCUGGAGUUUCCUUUUUCUCCUGUACCUAUGUAACCCCUGCAGUGCUGGUGUUCGGGUGCAAAGGACGAAGACCUGUGUACCCCCAGGACACUCGCAGAGUGCAUUCCCCCCCGGCCCCCCACACUUUAAACUGGACCUUGUCGAGAGCUCCGUAAGGUAGGGAGUCGAGGUAAUUGCCACCAAGAAGUUUAUUUGUCACUGGAGGGAACUGGGUCUCAGAGAACUACGAGGGCCCCGUUCACCGUCCUGCAAUGCGGUAAGGGCUGGAUCUCACACUUGGGAAUUGGCCUCUUUCCCUGAGCUGCUUUCCUGUCCUGCCACCUCUGCGCCCAGACCCAAGACUGAUUUCCCCACGCGUUCAGUGAGACAAGGGAACCAGUUUCACUUCGGAGAAGGAAGAGGCGUGACUUCAGACGUGUGACGCUGGAAGUCAGUCUCAAGGUCGGAAAGGACUUACGCCAGUGAUGGUCAGACCUGACCCCCAGAAUCACUGGGGGAGACUCCUGGGCUCACCCUGGUUCUGUUCCGGUGUCUGGGGUUGGGUUGAGGAAACUCGUACGUUCAAAAAGUCCCCUGAAACAGGAGCCCUGAGCUGCAGAGCAUGACUUGAAGGACUUUUUGUUCAAGGGGAUCACAGUGUUGGGAAAACCCGUGUUUCCAAGAGUCCUUAUCUUCUGAAGAAAUGCCGACGAAACAGUAUCACGUCUGACUUUUGUUUUAAAAUAAUCCAGGGCUGAGGGCGGAGGCUAGAGGCUACGUGAAGCAGGCUCCUGGGAACUUGGAGUGGGUGGUGCGAGGAGGGGGCUUCUUCUGCCUGUGCCUACCAUCAAAAUGGUUCUAAAAGAAGGAAGUUGCACAAAGAAAAAGCUCCCCAGGAAAUUCCGAUGACCGCAGACUCUGGGAAUCAUGGAUCUAUUCCACCCCGAAGCUCUCAUCACCCGGGUUCCCUGUGAGGUGUUUCUUCCCUGCAUCGCAGCGGCGUUGCGGAAGGGUACGCUCAUGGGUGCGCCGAAACGAGGAAAGGUAAACAAGGUCCUGCUGCCGAGCCCAGGGAACUACAGCCCGUGCCCUGGGCUUAGUGGGGAUGGAGCAGACCGGGAAGGAGGGUCUGUGUGUGCAACCGCGUCACUGCGCAGCGGAAAUUGACCGCUGUACUUCAGCGACAUAAAUUAAAACAAAAGAAGAGAAAGGAGUGCGCGAUGGCUACAAGUGAGCGUCUGCUCUUCCCAAACCAGGGGCCCACCUUCCGGUCCUUUCUUGGAUUCUGCUCCUUUCUCUCCAUGUCCGUCCAGUCCCAGGGAGCAGGUUGCUCUUCUGCUUUGACCUGCCCCUACGGUCCACACACCCAUCCUCAGUGAGGUUCAUGUCGAGGGUCAAGUGUCCUCUAAACUCACACUUUCUCCUUUUCUCUUUCGUCCUCACUCGUGUACACUCAGAGCAGGCGUGUGUGUGAGGCAGGAGCUUGAGAGUACAGCCUUAUCGCACCAUGGCAACAGAAGCCUCACCCACGUUGGUCACUUUGCAUGGAAUUAUUGCAAACGUCAACAGCACUUUUGAAAGUUUAAGUUGCACCGCGUUUCCCAAAGCAAACGCCUGCAACUGGGCAUUUCUGAUUUUGGAGAUGCUGGUGGACAGAGACAAGAUUCAGUCAGGGGGACGUCCUGGACACCCCAGUUCUGGGCUUCCCGCGGAUAAGACGCCUCUUCGCAGUUGCUUCUCUGGUUUCUCUUAUGUUUAGUGCUGGUAAAGCAUUCAAUAGUACCUGUUCCCUUCAGUUGGUGUGCUUGCAUUUGCUUAAAUACCAUUUAAUGGGAGUUUGCCUUCAAAAAUGUAAUGCACUUUCCCAGCAAAAUCAUAUCUAUUCUAAUCUCAGCAUAUAUUAUGUACUAUACUUGUAUAAAACUUUUUACAGUUAUAUAAAAUACAACGUAUUAUACGUAUUAUGUGUGUGUGUGUGUACCCAUUUUCUAGCAGAAAAGGGCAUAGAACACAGAGAACAAUAGCUCAUAGGGAGUUCCCGUUGUGGCUUGGUAACGAGCCCAGUUAGUAUCCAUGAGGAUUCAGGUUCAAUCUCCGGCUUCGCACAGUGGGUUAAGGAUCUGGUGUUGCUGUGACCGUCGUGUAGCUCUGAUGUGAGCCCUAGCCUGAGAACUUCCAUGUGCUGCAGGAAAAAAACAAAAAAAGAAAAAGAAGAAAAAGCUGAUACAUCUGUACUGCUUGUCCUCUUAGGCCUAUUACGUCCCUGAGAGGUUUUCCCCUGAUACCUGCUAUUUUCUGAGACCUGUAAAAAUUGGAGCGGGAGCCAGGCUUGCAACAUUUAGUUCACCUCAGAACCUGGUGUCUAUAAUGUCUCCUGCAUUUGUUUUGCUUUUGUUGAACCCCUGGCAGCCAGUGGAUCCAGUCCUCCGGGGGCUGCCCAGGAGUUCCACUUCUGUUCUAGGAACAAGGCCCUUCCCUGGCCCCAGCACUGGUGCUGGGUUUGGGAUUCUCAUCAAGAGAGAAGGGAAAGCCCCCUCCCGGCCGGGACCUGCCCUUACGAGGACUUAGCCCGGGGAUCAGGCCAUCAGCCAUGGUGCUGUGACCCAGAGGGGUGGUUCGUCAGACACCACCGUGUCCCACGCUCUGUGCUCAGUGCUGGGAGACGGACAGAAUCUGAAACCAACGCGUCCCGGCCACCAGGGGCCUUCCACCAAAACAAGGGAACAUCAAGAGGUUUUUCCACACAUUAAAAGGGAAGUGACCUGUGUCCGUGGGUAUAAUUCUCCCCCUAAGACUUCACACACACACAUGCACAACAGAGAC
Molecule: long non-coding RNA, 6092 nt
Filed under: Sus scrofa (pig)
Lineage: Eukaryota; Metazoa; Chordata; Mammalia; Artiodactyla; Suidae
Description: lncRNA (ENSSSCG00055025173.1)
Source: RNAcentral